RNA transcript from Vollenhovia emeryi, 1290 nucleotides. RefSeq lists it as uncharacterized. The record is from RefSeq and is a predicted model, not a curated record. The transcript has 5 exons. NCBI's taxonomy places the organism in Eukaryota, Metazoa, Arthropoda, Insecta, Hymenoptera, Formicidae.
CUCCUUCCCCGACGCAUUUCCAAAUAGUCGUUUGAACCGAUAAGACGAUCCGCUCCGGCGCGUCCAAAGUCGCCCUGAUUAUGGCCCGUACCGCGCUCCUUCUACCUGCCGCCGAGCGGUAAACUCGUAAGAGAUGCCCACGCGUCGAUCGACAAUCGGUCGAUCGUUAGCCAGAUACCUCCUCGCGGGAUGCAUCGUGUCGUUGUCGACGAGUCUCGCGCGAGUCGAAGGCAGGAAGUGCGUGUGUACGAGUAAAGCCUGCAAAGAAGCUGGCGUAGAUACUUGUAGAACGAGAUUCUUUUGCUACACCGAACUUAUCGUCACAACGGCACGAGAAAUCGGCCAAAGUACCACUACAAGAGGAUGUACGGAGGGUGCCACGCCAUUGUUGUGCGAAACAAAGUCCUGGAUCACGAGGUCGCGAUCGGUCAACGCCGUCGAACCGUCGUCGGCAAGUCCCCGGGUUCUCGUGCCCUGGCCCAGAUUGAAAUGCUGCAACGGCCACGACUAUUGUAACGCUGAUGACAACGACGACGAUGAGAACGCGAGCACGUGGACGCACGAGAGACAGGCUCAGAUGCGUUCUACGGCGGAUCGCGAGGCACCGAUGGACGGAUUAACGUCAACGAAUACGACGUUAACGUUGCAGCCUGAUCGAAAGUAUCAAGAUUCGAGAGAAGAUCGACUUGUCCGGAAUCACAUCAGGGCGCUACAUAUCGCCGCUCUCGUCCUUGCUGUCGCAGCCCUCAUAUCCGUUCUAGCAUCUUGCUACGUCGUUACAAGAUUCCUUAGAAGUAAUGGUUACAUAAUGGGCACGGUAAACUAAUGGUGAAGACGAUGCUGAAACUUGGAUGCAUCGGGACUCGAAGGGAUCGUGACUUUUCCUGCGAGGAAAUAAAUUAAGAUUUGACAAGUUUAUAGUUUGACGCUCGCGGGGAUAUAAUUCUCGUCUCGAUCGUAUGCCGCUGAUCGACUAACGAACGGAAAAUAUAAAUAGAAGCCGGCCGUGCGGGAGAUAACUGCUGCCGACAGGCUGGCCGCGAGUCUGUAUUAAAGCGAUUUUUUGUUACGCUCGCUGGAUAGCUUUCAAGUUCCAGCAGUAGCGCCGGCAUGGCUGUCGGAGAUGGCGAGCGAUCGAAUAUCGCGCGCUAAUAAUAUUAUCUCAGCGCGGAUACUAUUAACCCGUCGGCAGUCGAAACUGCAACACUGAUUGAUCUUGGCUGAAAAUUGUAGACGAAGCUGUAAAAAGGCGUACUCGAGCAAGGGCUCCCUGUAACUGUAAAGUUUGUG